GUAUGAGUAGCGAAAGAGGGGUGAGAAUCCCCUCCACCGAAUGCCUAAGGUUUCCUGAGGAAGGCUCGUCCGCUCAGGGUUAGUCGGGACCUAAGCCGAGGCCGAAAGGCGUAGGCGAUGGACAACAGGUUGAUAUUCCUGUACCACCUCCUCACCAUUUGAGCAAUGGGGGGACGCAGGAGGAUAGGGUAAGCGCGGUAUUGGAUAUCCGCGUCCAAGCAGUUAGGCUGGGAAAUAGGCAAAUCCGUUUCCCAUAAGGCUGAGCUGUGAUGGCGAGCGAAAUAUAGUAGCGAAGUUCCUGAUUCCACACUGCCAAGAGAAGCCUCUAGCGAGGUGAGAGGUGCCCGUACCGCAAACCGACACAGGUAGGCGAGGAGAGAAUCCUAAGGUGAUCGAGAGAACUCUCGUUAAGGAACUCGGCAAAAUGACCCCGUAACUUCGGGAGAAGGGGUGCUCUGUUAGGGUGCAAGCCCGAGAGAGCCGCAGUGAAUAGGCCCAGGCGACUGUUUAGCAAAAACACAGGUCUCUGCGAAGCCGUAAGGCGAAGUACAGGGGCUGACGCCUGCCCGGUGCUGGAAGGUUAAGAGGAGCGCUUAGCGUAAGCGAAGGUGCGAAUUGAAGCCCCAGUAAACGGCGGCCGUAACUAUAACGGUCCUAAGGUAGCGAAAUUCCUUGUCGGGUAAGUUCCGACCCGCACGAAAGGCGCAACGAUCUGGGCACUGUCUCAACGAGAGACUCGGUGAAAUUAUAGUACCUGUGAAGAUGCAGGUUACCCGCGACAGGACGGAAAGACCCCGUGGAGCUUUACUGCAGCCUGAUAUUGAAUGUUGGUACAGCUUGUACAGGAUAGGUAGGAGCCUUGGAAACCGGAGCGCCAGCUUCGGUGGAGGCAUCGGUGGGAUACUACCCUGGCUGUAUUGACCUUCUAACCCGCCGCCCUUAUCGGGCGGGGAGACAGUGUCAGGUGGGCAGUUUGACUGGGGCGGUCGCCUCCUAAAAGGUAACGGAGGCGCCCAAAGGUUCCCUCAGAAUGGUUGGAAAUCAUUCGCAGAGUGUAAAGGCACAAGGGAGCUUGACUGCGAGACCUACAAGUCGAGCAGGGACGAAAGUCGGGCUUAGUGAUCCGGUGGUUCCGCAUGGAAGGGCCAUCGCUCAACGGAUAAAAGCUACCCCGGGGAUAACAGGCUUAUCUCCCCCAAGAGUCCACAUCGACGGGGAGGUUUGGCACCUCGAUGUCGGCUCAUCGCAUCCUGGGGCUGUAGUCGGUCCCAAGGGUUGGGCUGUUCGCCCAUUAAAGCGGUACGCGAGCUGGGUUCAGAACGUCGUGAGACAGUUCGGUCCCUAUCCGUCGCGGGCGCAGGAAAUUUGAGAGGAGCUGUCCUUAGUACGAGAGGACCGGGAUGGACGCACCGCUGGUGUACCAGUUGUUCUGCCAAGGGCAUCGCUGGGUAGCUAUGUGCGGACGGGAUAAGUGCUGAAAGCAUCUAAGCAUGAAGCCCCCCUCAAGAUGAGAUUUCCCAUUCCGCAAGGAAGUAAGAUCCCUGAAAGAUGAUCAGGUUGAUAGGUCUGAGGUGGAAGUGUGGCGACACAUGGAGCUGACAGAUACUAAUCGAUCGAGGACUUAACC
Molecule: ribosomal RNA, 1627 nt
Filed under: metagenome
Description: bacterial LSU rRNA
Rfam family: Bacterial large subunit ribosomal RNA
Source: RNAcentral